RNAcentral lists this non-coding RNA (97 nucleotides) under Galbibacter marinus. RNAcentral's name for it is "TPP sequence". It matches the Rfam family "TPP riboswitch aptamer (THI element)". From Rfam's summary of the family: Vitamin B(1) in its active form thiamin pyrophosphate (TPP) is an essential coenzyme that is synthesised by coupling of pyrimidine and thiazole moieties in bacteria. The previously detected thiamin-regulatory element, thi box was extended, resulting in a new, highly conserved RNA secondary structure, the THI element, which is widely distributed in eubacteria and also occurs in some archaea. Analysis of operon structures identified a large number of new candidate thiamin-regulated genes, mostly transporters, in various prokaryotic organisms. Lineage: Bacteria; Pseudomonadati; Bacteroidota; Flavobacteriia; Flavobacteriales; Flavobacteriaceae. The record is from Rfam by way of RNAcentral.
CGUAAACUUUAGGGGUGCCAAUUUGGUUUGGCUGAGAAAUUACCCUUUGAACCUGAUUCAGGCUAGUACCUGCGAAGGAAAAAGUUCGAAAAUUCCA